GGAAUAUUGGUCAAUGGACGCAAGUCUGAACCAGCCAUGCCGCGUGCAGGAUGAAUGCCCUCUGGGUUGUAAACUGCUUUUAUCAGGGAAUAAACCUCUUUACGUGUAGAGAGCUGAAGGUACCUGAUGAAUAAGCACCGGCUAACUCCGUGCCAGCAGCCGCGGUAAUACGGAGGGUGCAAGCGUUAUCCGGAAUCAUUGGGUUUAAAGGGUCCGCAGGCGGAUUUAUAAGUCAGUGGUGAAAUCUCUCGGCUCAACCGAGAAACUGCCAUUGAUACUGUAAGUCUUGAAUUCGGUCGAAGUGGGCGGAAUAUGACAUGUAGCGGUGAAAUGCAUAGAUAUGUCAUAGAACACCGAUAGCGAAGGCAGCUCACUAGGCCUGGAUUGACGCUCAGGGACGAAAGCGUGGGGAGCAAACAGGAUUAGAUACCCCUG
Molecule: ribosomal RNA, 435 nt
Filed under: uncultured Fluviicola sp.
Lineage: Bacteria; Pseudomonadati; Bacteroidota; Flavobacteriia; Flavobacteriales; Crocinitomicaceae
Description: bacterial SSU rRNA
Rfam family: Bacterial small subunit ribosomal RNA
Source: RNAcentral